RNAcentral lists this ribosomal RNA (253 nucleotides) under uncultured bacterium. RNAcentral's name for it is "partial 16S ribosomal RNA". It matches the Rfam family "Bacterial small subunit ribosomal RNA", at positions 524 to 776 of the family's 1533-position model. The record is from RNAcentral.
UACGUAGGGGGCUAGCGUUGUCCGGAAUCAUUGGGCGUAAAGCGCGUGUAGGCGGUCCGGUAAGUCCGCUGUGAAAGUCGGGGGCUCAACCCUCGAAUGCCGGUGGAUACUGUCGGGCUAGAGUGCGGAAGAGGCGAGUGGUAUUCCUGGUGUAGCGGUGAAAUGCGCAGAUAUCAGGAGGAACACCUAUUGCGAAGGCAGCUCGCUGGGACGUAACUGACGCUGAGGCGCGAAAGCUAGGGUAGCAAACGGG